Molecule: ribosomal RNA, 373 nt
Filed under: uncultured eukaryote
Lineage: Eukaryota
Description: partial 18S ribosomal RNA
Rfam family: Eukaryotic small subunit ribosomal RNA
Source: RNAcentral
CAAUAGCGUAUAUUAAAGUUGUUGCAGUUAAAAAGCUCGUAGUUGAAUUUUUGCUUGCCGCCGAUGUCGGAACUUCCGUACGUUCGGCGGCGUGCAUCCUUGGGUGGAACCUGUGUGGCAUUAGGUUGUCGUGCAGGGGAUGCUCAUCGUUUACUGUGAAAAAAUUAGAGUGUUCAAAGCAGGCUUACGCCGUUGAAUAUAUUAGCAUGGAAUAAUAAGAUAGGACCUUGGUACUAUUUUGUUGGUUUGCGCACCGAGGUAAUGAUUAACAGGGACAGUUGGGGGUAUUCGUAUUCCAUUGUCAGAGGUGAAAUUCUUGGAUUUUUGGAAGACGAACUACUGCGAAAGCAUUUACCAAGGAUGUUUUCAUUAA